This is a non-coding RNA of Pelobates cultripes (western spadefoot toad), 206 nucleotides long. Lineage: Eukaryota; Metazoa; Chordata; Amphibia; Anura; Pelobatidae. The record is from the annotation of a GenBank genome assembly.
CUAAUCCAGAACAGCUCCCGCUGAAGGAGCAACUUUUUACGAUCUCCACCUCUUCUCGGCACAGGAACAUGGUCAAUCGCCAUCAAUUUCAUGGAAGACAAAGGAUGUCCAAGUUCUAAAAAAUGCUUCGCCACCGGCAGUUCUGACUUAUUAUCCCUAUAAGCAGUUCUGAUGCUCGAUCUAUGGUUACGGAUUCUCUCUCUCAG